This is a non-coding RNA of Vicia faba (fava bean), 216 nucleotides long. The record is from the annotation of a GenBank genome assembly. NCBI's taxonomy places the organism in Eukaryota, Viridiplantae, Streptophyta, Magnoliopsida, Fabales, Fabaceae.
AUGAAGGUUGGUAGAAACGGAUUCGCCGGUGAGGUUUCGAUGACAUUCGCACUGAGUCAGAAUCUUCAAGUAUGCACAUCACUCUUUACAGUUUUUCAUGUUCUUCUUCUAUUCGAUUUCUUUUUCAAUCCCUCAGAUGAGGAUGCAUUGAUAUUGAUGAAGGUGGUGAUUGAAGAGCGAAGACGGAGGAUCUACAUGGAUUGUGAUAAUGAUUGA